UUCCGGAUAACGCACAUAUGCUGGAAUGCUUUAUGCGUAAAAUGGAUUCGUCUGCCCAAGGAUGGGUCUGCGGCCUAUCAGGUAGUAGUGGGUGUAAUGUACCUACUAGCCUACGACGGGUACGGGUUGUGAGAGCAAGAGCCCGGAGAUGGAUUCUGAGACAUGAAUCCAGGCCCUACGGGGCGCAGCAGGCGCGAAAACUUUACAAUGCGGGAAACCGUGAUAAGGGGACACCGAGUGCCAGCAUCCUAUGCUGGCUGUCCGGGUGUGUAAAAUACACCUGUUAGCAAGGGCCGGGCAAGACCGGUGCCAGCCGCCGCGGUAACACCGGCGGCCCGAGUGGUGAUCGUGAUUAUUGGGUCUAAAGGGUCCGUAGCCGGUUUGGUCAGUCCUCCGGGAAAUCUGACAACUUAACUGUUAGGCUUUCGGAGGAUACUGCCAGACUUGGAACCGGGAGAGGA
RNAcentral lists this ribosomal RNA (461 nucleotides) under uncultured archaeon. RNAcentral's name for it is "bacterial SSU rRNA". It matches the Rfam family "Archaeal small subunit ribosomal RNA", at positions 150 to 609 of the family's 1478-position model. The record is from RNAcentral.